CUCGUCUUUCAAGGCAUGACUCCACGCAAAGCCUUCAGCCGACAACGCCAAUGCCAUAUCCAUUUCAUACCUAACAAUCUCCUCUAUUUCAUGUUCAUGUCAAAACCGACUUUGAAAUAUGGACUCCAGCCCACAAGAUAAUUGGAGUGAUAAAGAAAUUGAAGGAAUAGGACAAAAUAAAGAGCUGAUUACGGAAGGUGGAGGUAACACAGUUUUUCUUCUUCCAGGUGGUGAGUCCUCCGAUAAAGGCAAGGGAAUU
This is a non-coding RNA of Theobroma cacao (cacao), 259 nucleotides long. Lineage: Eukaryota; Viridiplantae; Streptophyta; Magnoliopsida; Malvales; Malvaceae. The record is from RefSeq and is a predicted model, not a curated record.